Triticum aestivum (bread wheat) is the source of this 125-nucleotide non-coding RNA. Lineage: Eukaryota; Viridiplantae; Streptophyta; Magnoliopsida; Poales; Poaceae. The record is from Rfam.
UUCCUACUCCCUAUAUCCGGAAAUACUUGUCGAAAAAAUGGAUGUUUCUAGACAUAAUUUAGUCCUAGAUACAUCCAUUUCUAACCAUUUUCGCGACAAGUAAUUCCGGACGGAGGGAGUACCAU